This 293-nucleotide long non-coding RNA is filed under the name Mytilus galloprovincialis (Mediterranean mussel). Lineage: Eukaryota; Metazoa; Mollusca; Bivalvia; Mytilida; Mytilidae. The record is from RNAcentral.
GUUAUUCUGUAUUGGCCCAGUUUACACAUUAUAUUGCAUAGGCAGUUUUCAUCAUAUUAAGUCCAAUAACAGUGUAGUUAAUUAAUAAAAUGAAAUAAAGGAGAACACCAAGAUUCCAUAGGUCCGCUAAUAUGGUAUCAUGGACAAUCCCACGAAUAACUUCUGGGACACAAAAUAAUUUAUUUCCUAGAAAAUCACCACACAGCAACGGUUGUCCACAUGAGGUCAUGCAUUUCAUAGAAAUUCCAAAAUCUGCUAAUUUAAUUGUCCUGUUUCUUAAUAGCAAUACAUUA